RNAcentral lists this ribosomal RNA (253 nucleotides) under uncultured bacterium. RNAcentral describes it as "partial 16S ribosomal RNA". It matches the Rfam family "Bacterial small subunit ribosomal RNA", at positions 524 to 776 of the family's 1533-position model. The record is from RNAcentral.
GACGUAGGGCGCGAGCGUUGUCCGGAUUUAUUGGGCGUAAAGAGCUCGUAGGCGGCUUGUUGCGUCGGCUGUGAAAUCCCAUGGCUCAACUGUGGGCUUGCAGCCGAUACGGGCGGGCUAGAGUUCGGUAGGGGAGACUGGAAUUCCUGGUGUAGCGGUGAAAUGCGUAGAGAUCGGGAAGAACAUCAGUGGCGAAGGCGGCCUGCUGGGCUGUUGCUGACGCUGAGGCGCGACAGCGUGGGGAGCAAACAGG